UACAGAGACUGCAAGCGUUAUUCGGAUUCACUGGGCGUAAAGGGUGCGCAGGCGGCCGUGUGUGUGAGGCGUGAAAGCCCGGGGCUUAACCCCGGAAUUGCACCUCAAACUACAUGGCUAGAGCAUUGGAGAGGGGAGCGGAAUUCACGGUGUAGCAGUGAAAUGCGUAGAUAUCGUGAGGAACACCAGAGGCGAAGGCGGCUCCCUGGACAAUUGCUGACGCUCAGGCACGAAAGCGUGGGGAGCAAAAGGG
RNAcentral lists this ribosomal RNA (253 nucleotides) under uncultured bacterium. Its description in RNAcentral is "partial 16S ribosomal RNA". It matches the Rfam family "Bacterial small subunit ribosomal RNA", at positions 524 to 776 of the family's 1533-position model. The record is from RNAcentral.